This 177-nucleotide ribosomal RNA is filed under the name uncultured bacterium. RNAcentral's name for it is "partial 16S ribosomal RNA". It matches the Rfam family "Bacterial small subunit ribosomal RNA", at positions 1326 to 1500 of the family's 1533-position model. The record is from RNAcentral.
CCGGAAUUGCUAGUAAUCGCGGAUCAGCAUGCCGCGGUGAAUACGUUCCCGGGGCUUGUACACACCGCCCGUCACACCAUGAGAGCCGGGGGGACCCGAAGUCAGUUGCCUAACCGCAAGGGGGGCGNUGCCGAAGGUAAAAACUGGUGAUUGGGGGUGAAGUCGUAACAAGGUAGC